UGGGAGAUAGGGGGUGGGAAAUGGGGGAGGGCCCUUGGUGCUGUAGGGGUGUCCCUGGUAGCCUGGGUGUGGCUCAGGUGUGUCCCUGGUGCCCUGGGGUUGGUUUAGGGGUGUCCCUGAAGCUCUGGGUGUCACUCAGGUGUAUCCCUGUCACUCCAGGUGUCACUCAGGUGUAUCCCUGUCACUCCAGGUGUCACUCAGGUGUAUCCCUGUCACUCCAGGUGUCACUCAGGUGUAUCCCCACCACCCCAGGUGUCACUCAGGUGUAUCCCUGUCACUCCAGGUGUCACUCAGGUGUAUCCCUGUCACUCCAGGUGUCACUCAGGUGUGUCCCCACCACCCCAGGUGUCACUCAGGUGUAUCCCUGUCACUCCAGGUGUCACUCAGGUGUACCCCUCCUGCUCCAGGUGUCACUCAGGUGUAUCCCUGUCACCCCAGGUGUCACUCAGGUGUGUCCCCACCACCCCAGGUGUCACUCAGGUGUAUCCCCGUCACUCCAGGUGUCACUCAGGUG
Long non-coding RNA from Serinus canaria (Common canary), 514 nucleotides. RefSeq lists it as uncharacterized. NCBI's taxonomy places the organism in Eukaryota, Metazoa, Chordata, Aves, Passeriformes, Fringillidae. The transcript has 5 exons. The record is from RefSeq and is a predicted model, not a curated record.